AAAAGUGUUGCAAUAAAGAGUAGCAUGGUAUCAGUAUGGCCAUAACUAGAAAAAGAAAUGGGGGUCUCAAUCAUGAUGAUGUCACAGUAGGAGAAUUACUGGGCAAGGGAACUUUUGCUGACAUAUUUAAGGGCACAUUAAAGGAUAAAACUGCUGUUGCCAUUAAAACAUGUAAAGAUGAUCUUUCCCAGGAACUGAAAUUAAAAUUUUUACAAGAAGCCAAAAUCCUCAAGCAAUAUAAUCAUCCCGAUAUUGUCAAACUUAUAGGAGUUCGCACACAAAUACAGCCUAUCUAUAUCAUUAAGGAACUGGUUCCAGGAGGCGAUUUCCUCUCCUUUCUGAGAAAGAAGGAUGAACUAAAACAGUUAGUGAAAUUUUCAUUAGAUGCUGCUUCUGGAUGGCGAAUCUCGAGUAAAAAUUGUAUACACAGGGACCUUGCUGCAAGAAACUGCCUGGAGGUGAAAAUAAUGUUCUGAAAAUCAGUGACUUUGGAAUGUCUCGUCAAGAGGAUGGUGGUGUGUAUUCAUCUUCUGACUUAAAGCAGAUUCCCAUUAAAUGGACAGCACCAGAAGCUCUUAAUUAUGGGAGAUAUCGUUCUGAGAGUGACGUAUGGAGCUUUGGCAUCCUCCUCUGGGAGACCUUCAGCUUAGGGGUCUGUCCAUACCCUGGAAUGACAAAUCAGCAAGCACAAGAGCAAGUGGAAAGAAGAUACUGGAUGUCAGUCUCUCAGCAGUGUCCAGAGCGUAUUUAUCAAUACAGUGUUGAAGUGUUGGGAUUACAAACUUGAAAACGGCCCCAAGUUCAGUGAACUUCAGAAAGAACUGCCAUCAAGAAGAAAAGUCAUAUGGUGAUGAAACAGUGCCAAACUCAGCCUUCAGGACUCUUAUCUUCCAGCAGAGUAAUAUUUUCUUCUCAUUAACAAUGCAUUUAUACCACAUUACCUGGAACAUUCUCCUAAGGUUAUUGGUUUUUUUAUUUUUUAAAAAAUAUGUGCCACUUUAAUGUUUGUAAAUAACAAAGCACAGGCGCUAAAUGCAAGAGAUAACACAGAUCUAUCUUUUUCACACCUAGGACUGCUGAUGUUUUUCACAGGGUUUCUACUUCAGGCUGGGUCCAGAGCUGGCUGUCCUCCAUCCUAGACAUCUCUAUUCUAUCGGUGCUAUUGACUGCACUGGUAAUACUGUGUUUGCAGAAAGACAAGAUUACCUUUGUAAACAUCACUUUCUACUGGGUAUUAUCUGGACAGGACAUCCUGAGGUAUUUUCUUCCCUCCCCCCAAC
RNA transcript from Odobenus rosmarus divergens (Pacific walrus), 1280 nucleotides. It is a transcript of the gene named tyrosine-protein kinase Fer-like, with no coding region annotated. The record is from RefSeq and is a predicted model, not a curated record. Lineage: Eukaryota; Metazoa; Chordata; Mammalia; Carnivora; Odobenidae. The transcript has a single exon.